UACGUAGGGGGCAAGCGUUGUCCGGAUUUAUUGGGCGUAAAGAGCGUGUAGGCGGUUUGGUAGGUCCGCUGUGAAAACUCGAGGCUCAACCUCGAGACGCCGGUGGAAACCAUCAGACUAGAGUCCGGAAGAGGAGAGUGGAAUUCCUGGAUGUAGCGGUGAAUGACGCAGAUAUCAGGAAGAACACCCGUGGCUAAGGCGGCUCUCUAGUACGGUACUGACGCUGAGACGCGAAAGCGUGGGAGCGAACAGG
RNAcentral lists this ribosomal RNA (253 nucleotides) under uncultured bacterium. RNAcentral's name for it is "partial 16S ribosomal RNA". It matches the Rfam family "Bacterial small subunit ribosomal RNA", at positions 524 to 776 of the family's 1533-position model. The record is from RNAcentral.